Molecule: ribosomal RNA, 253 nt
Filed under: uncultured bacterium
Lineage: Bacteria
Description: partial 16S ribosomal RNA
Rfam family: Bacterial small subunit ribosomal RNA
Source: RNAcentral
UACGUAGGGUGCAAGCGUUGUCCGGAAUUACUGGGCGUAAAGAGCUCGUAGGCGGUUUGUCACGUCGUCUGUGAAAUCCUCCAGCUUAACUGGGGGCGUGCAGGCGAUACGGGCAGACUUGAGUACUACAGGGGAGACUGGAAUUCCUGGUGUAGCGGUGAAAUGCGCAGAUAUCAGGAGGAACACCGGUGGCGAAGGCGGGUCUCUGGGUAGUAACUGACGCUGAGGAGCGAAAGCAUGGGGAGCGAACAGG